AUUCUGGGAGUUGAAGUCCACGAGUCAUAAAAAAGCCAAAGCUGCCUACCCCUGGAGUAGGCUUUAUUCGCGGAUUCUGGCGCGCGGCUUUCUUUCGCGCGGGGCCUCUGACUGUGGAUGGUGCUGCGAGGAGUCGGGGGGGGGGGAGAGAAAUGGGUGCCUGAGCCGGGCGUGAUGGAGCAAAGGGCGCUCUCUCCUCGCCGUGGGGGAUUAGUCAGAUAAAUAGAAAUCAGAAAAUAAUUCCAGUGGAUAUUUUUCUUUUUCCUUCGAAUUGCGUACGAGGAUUCCGUGGUGUCGGGGGAGGGAGAGUAACCGCCUCGCUCCUUCGCACGAGGAGGAUUCAUGCCUUCAGUUCUGGCGAAAGAGGCGAGCGUCAGGCUCGCGGGAGGGGAUGAUGUGUGUUGUAGUCUGCGCGGCUGAAGGGCACGUGCGUGGGGAUUUGCUUCCCUGCUGCUUGCUUUUUUUUUUUUUUAAUUCGGAUGCCGUCCCGGUUUAUAAACCACAUGUUGGGUGGCAAAUCCGAAUUACUGAAGUUCCGGGAACGCUUAGAUUGGGGGGGGGGGUCGGGGGUCGGAGCAACGCUUGGCGCUAAGUUGGUUUUUGAUGGUUAUAUAGAGGAAUUCUCUGAGCCAAGGACUUUGUGGCCCCUUUUGGUGUACUCACUAAAGUGGCUCUUUACCUUAUGGUGAAAUGUGGCAAUUAAAAUAUUAAAUGCAUAAUGUGAUUUACUUUUAAGGACAUGCAUCCCAAACCUCUAGCUGUAGUCUGUGUUUUAGACAUCUACCAUUUUAUCCUUGGAUGGAAAAAAAACCACGAAUUGUUAAUUUUGUUUUGCUUUCUUAAAGAGUUAUACACGUGCAAUGUUUGGAACAUGGAGUCUCAAAAUUUGAGGAAACCAAAAAUUUCUCUUGGAAGAUGUACAGGUAUGUUUUAAAUGGUUGAACAUUCUUCACCAAUUCAUCUGAUUUUUUUUCCCCUCAGUUUUUAAAAACUGUUCUUAACUCUUUUGUAAUCUGAUGGAUCAAAUUUCCAACACAAAUGGGGAGAUGAACUUCAAGGUUUGUCAAAAAUAUAGAAGGCAAUGUCUUGUAUUUUCCUGAUUUUGUUUAUAAUAAAAAAAUACCUUAAUGUUG
Molecule: long non-coding RNA, 1133 nt
Organism: Crotalus tigris (Tiger rattlesnake)
Lineage: Eukaryota; Metazoa; Chordata; Lepidosauria; Squamata; Viperidae
Exons: 3
Source: RefSeq, a predicted model, not a curated record